Prosopis cineraria is the source of this 1206-nucleotide RNA transcript. RefSeq lists it as uncharacterized. The transcript is spliced from 3 exons. The record is from RefSeq and is a predicted model, not a curated record. NCBI's taxonomy places the organism in Eukaryota, Viridiplantae, Streptophyta, Magnoliopsida, Fabales, Fabaceae.
CUAAUGCUGAUGGAAAAAACGUCCAAGGUACAUUAGGUUAGAUAGGAAACGUGGAAUCUGGGUUGGAUGAGAAUGAGUGUCUUUGGGGGAGAUAGCUGGGCAAGAGAAGCGCAAUACAGGAAAAGGAGGGUUGACGAUCUGCUUGUAGAGGGGAUUCAUGGCUCUUCCUUCAAGAAGCUCGCUAACGGCAAAUACGCCUGCCUCGUCUGCCCCGACAAUCCCAUCCUCGAUACCCCUGUCAUGCUCUCCAACGGAUUCCUUUCUUCUUUAGAGAUGGCGAAGGAUGUCAAGUUUGAAGCUUUCUUAUAUGCUUGUUGAUAUUUGAAAGAGGUGGUCUCCGAUUGUUGAAACCUUUUUUUAGAUACACAACAAGGGAUCACGUCACCUUGCGGCAACAUCAAGACUGAAAGAAAGGGAUUUGAUUAAACAGAAUGAAAUAAAUAAGAGAAUUGCAUUGUCGGCCUCAUCUGCUGACAGUGCCAAAUCCAGUGGCAAUCAAAAGCUAAGGUUAGCUAGCAGUGGCAAGCCUUUGAUUGAACAGACAAAGAAGGCUGUUUCUGAAAUACUGUCUGACAAAUCUCAGCAACAAAUGGAAAAUAGAAGUAAAAAGGGGCAAUCAAUCACAGGUCACAUGGCAAGUGCAUCAUGUGUAUCAACUGAAAGUUUCUCCUCUCCUGCAAGAGUGGACGAUAACAAGGUGGUCUUGCAGCAUAAUUUGGAUUUUCAGGAGCGCAGAGAGAGAGAACUCAAAUUUACUGCUGCAGGUUGGAAGCGUGACGGUCAUGGAAAAUGGUAUCAAGAUGAAAAUGUUGAGUUUGACUCUGAUGAAGAAGAUCCAAAUGUUUGUCUUGGCUGAAAAUUUUUGCAUUAAUCAGCAGAGAUGGUGGCGGACUAUAGCAGUCACGCAAUUUUUUUUUUUUUUUAAAUAAACAAGAGUCGUCUGUUUGAUGAUGCACUCCUUCCAUUUGCUACAGAAGAAAUCAAAUUGUAACAUCACUGGUCUCUGUGGAAGCCAUAUUUGUGAGCGCGCGCGCGCACACACACAUAUAUAUAUAUAUAUAUGUAUGUAUAUGUAUAUGUAUGUAUAUUGUAUUAUUACCGAUAGGAUAGGUUUCAUCAAGGUUUUUCCUCCAAUGCUUUGAAUUGAUAGCUAGACUGCUAGAGCGAUUAUUUAUGACCAGUCAAGGCUUCCCAUUUGGUUUUAUA